Molecule: ribosomal RNA, 253 nt
Filed under: uncultured bacterium
Lineage: Bacteria
Description: partial 16S ribosomal RNA
Rfam family: Bacterial small subunit ribosomal RNA
Source: RNAcentral
UACAGAGGUCUCGAGCGUUAGGCGGAAUCACUGGGCUUAAAGCGUGUGUAGGUGGAUGCCUAAGUACCUUGUGAAAUCCCACAGCUUAACUGUGGAACUGCUUGGUAUACUGCCAGUCUUGAGCCAGCUAGGGGCUACCGGAACAAAUGGUGGAGCGGUGAAAUGCGUAGAUAUCAUUUGGAACGCCAAUGGUGAAAACAGGUAGCUGGGGCUGUGCUGACACUGAGACACGAAAGCCAGGGGAGCGAACGGG